This 124-nucleotide ribosomal RNA is filed under the name Clostridioides difficile. RNAcentral's name for it is "partial 16S ribosomal RNA". It matches the Rfam family "Bacterial small subunit ribosomal RNA", at positions 1 to 131 of the family's 1533-position model. Lineage: Bacteria; Bacillati; Bacillota; Clostridia; Peptostreptococcales; Peptostreptococcaceae. The record is from RNAcentral.
UUUUAUUUGAGAGUGUGAUCCUGGCGCAGGAUGAACGCUGGCGGCGUGCCUAACACAUGCAAGUUGAGCGAUUUACUUCGGUAAAGAGCGGCGGACGGGUGAGUAACGCGUGGGUAACCUACCC